This 382-nucleotide ribosomal RNA is filed under the name uncultured marine eukaryote. RNAcentral's name for it is "SSU rRNA". It matches the Rfam family "Eukaryotic small subunit ribosomal RNA", at positions 617 to 1004 of the family's 1831-position model. The record is from RNAcentral.
GGUUAAAAAGCUCGUAGUUGGAUUUCUGCUUGGGGUGGCCGAUGUGCCUUCUGGGUUACAGCCGGUUCAGCCUGAGCAUCUUCUUGGGAAUCGUGUCUGCACUUGAUUGUGUGGCACGGGUUCCAGGACUUUUACUUUGAGGAAAUUAGAGUGUUUCAAGCAGGCGUCCGCCUUGAAUACGUUAGCAUGGAAUAAUGCGACAGGACCUCGGUCCAUUUUGUUGGUUUCUUGGGUUGAGGUAAUGAUUAACAGGGAUGGUUGGGGGCAUUCGUAUUUAACUGUCAGAGGUGAAAUUCUUGGAUUUGUUAAAGACGAACUACUGCGAAAGCAUUUGCCAAGGAUGUUUUCAUUGAUCAAGAACCGAAAGUUAGGGGAUCGAAGA